RNAcentral lists this ribosomal RNA (469 nucleotides) under uncultured bacterium. Its description in RNAcentral is "bacterial SSU rRNA". It matches the Rfam family "Bacterial small subunit ribosomal RNA", at positions 29 to 506 of the family's 1533-position model. The record is from RNAcentral.
AACGAACGCUGGCGGCAUGCCUAACACAUGCAAGUUGAGCGAGAACCAAGGGGCUUGCUCCUUGGGGACAGCAGCGCACGGGUGAGUAACGCGUGGGUAACGUACCCUAGGGUUGGGGAUAACUCACCGAAAGGUGAGCUAAUACCGGAUGUGUUCCUAUUAGAUGCGUCUUUUAGGAAGAAAGCGGGGCAACCCGCGCCCCUGGAUCGGCCCGCGUUCCAUCAGUUUGUUGGUGGGGUAAUGGCCUACCAAGACUACGACGGAUAGCUGGUCUGAGAGGAUGAUCAGCCACACUGGGACUGAGACACGGCCCAGACUCCUACGGGAGGCAGCAGUGGGGAAUAUUGGACAAUGGGCGAAAGCCUGAUCCAGCAAUGCCGCGUGAGUGAUGAAGGCCUUAGGGUUGUAAAGCUCUUUUACCCGAGAUGAUAAUGACAGUAUCGGGAGAAUAAGCUCCGGCUAACUCCGU